CUGAUGCCAAAAUUUAAGAGAAACGUGACGAAAAAAAUGUCAUGUCAAAUCGUUUCACUCACUCAAAAGACGAUGUGUGAAGAUUAAAUUCGCAUUAAAGUACUGAUGUGAUGCUAAACAGACCGAAUGAGCGACUGAAACCAGUCUCUUACCUGUGUGUGGAAUCUGGGUCACCCGUCCCGUCCUCCGAGAGUUUGUCUCUUCUCCUCUGACUGUGGUCGAUUCCUCCCGGACCCCAUGUCAGUGUUCAGCCCCUUUCACAAUCACGCCCCGCUCCCCCUCUGAAGCCAGGCUGCCCCCAGACAAACCUCCACCAACUUUUCUCGAGGAAACAGACUUUGUGAGGAAACACUCUAUUCGUACCUGCAGAGGCUCUUGAUGAGAUGUGCUGCAGUCCUGCUGAUGGUUUUUG
This is a long non-coding RNA of Carassius auratus (goldfish), 412 nucleotides long. RefSeq lists it as uncharacterized. The transcript has 3 exons. The record is from RefSeq and is a predicted model, not a curated record. Lineage: Eukaryota; Metazoa; Chordata; Actinopteri; Cypriniformes; Cyprinidae.